Long non-coding RNA from Triplophysa rosa, 1794 nucleotides. RefSeq lists it as uncharacterized. The transcript has 3 exons. NCBI's taxonomy places the organism in Eukaryota, Metazoa, Chordata, Actinopteri, Cypriniformes, Nemacheilidae. The record is from RefSeq and is a predicted model, not a curated record.
GCACGACACGGUUUUUGCAGUGUUACUAUAUUAUUAUCAUAAUUAAACUUGACUUUAUUUUCAUUUAUUUUCAUAUAGCAACAAACAUAUACCAAUGAGUCUAUCUGGGGACACCAAAGGAUUCGACGUGUUAUUCAUCAAUCCUUACAGACUUCACAUAAUCGAGACGUAACAUGACAGUUCAAUUUAUAUCGAUUGCUAACUCUAUGCGACAUCCUUCUCUGCCUCCAUCAGCUUUCACACUCAAGAGAUCUGCAAACCUCUCAGAAGAGAAACUUUACCUUUCAGUAUUUUGAUACGUGAGAAAAAAUAAAAGGUCAUCUUCCAGCGGGCCUCCGGAACCAUACAGUCACAUGACACGAGACGCUAUAGUUUAGCUAAACCCCCAUCCAAGACCCAUUAAAUUUGUCCUCAAAAUGCGAACAACAACGUCUGUCCAGACCGCUACGGAAUGCAUCUGACACAGCACAAAUAUAUGAGACAGUGCCAUGGCCAACGUGCUCUGUGCUGCCCUGUAGCAAUGGAAUACAAAAGGAGAUCAUCAUGAGGGUGUCAUAAAACAAACAAUAAGGACUGUGCACAGGACAAACGUGCUGUUAAACUAUUAAAGUUUCACACCAUCCUCAAUCAAGCUCGUACCAACUCGUCAAUUUUCCUCCCUGCCAACUAAUGGAGAUGUAAUUGUAAGAAUCAACAAGUCUGUUUGUAUUGCCAACCCCGUCUUUCCUUGGAUGACAGAAUUCGAGCAAAACCCCACGAAGAAGAAUCACAGCGCCGUGUCAGUUGAUGGUGAGUAAAUAGGCCUGCAGCUGUCAUAUGGCAACCCAAAAUAAACAAUUAUUUACUACUAACGCACAUAAUAUUGCUAUGCCAUAAUUCAUAUAUUUCACGAGCAAUAAUAUGUGAAACCCGUUUACGCAGUUUAAUUUAAAGAUGCCAUGUGUUCAUUUAAUACAAUUGAGUAAUCGCUUUAAAACUCGUAUCCUUUUAUAGAAUGCAUGAGCGACAAGAAAACCCCGCUGGGAAUCAUUGCCUCAAAAAGAGCACGUACUGCUUAUACAAGUGGCCAGCUAGCAGAGCACGAGGAGCUCCACUUCAGACGCUUUUUUUUGUGCAGGCGGUGUGAGGAAAUGGCCAGUUUACUCGAACAUAAUAAGAAGUACAUAAAAACUGAAUUGAAACAUAAAAAGACUGAAGGUUCAGAAGGAUGCAUUAGCUGGACCAUGUAAAGAACGACCCACCACCAUGCAGCAAUUAUGAUCAGUUAUUUGAAACCAGUGGCCGAAACCUUAAUGGAUAGAGGGACUUCUCUUCCAACGUGUUGCUUCUCUUUUAUAUAUACUCGUGCAUCUUGCUAUUUGUGAAAGAUAAAACUUCCUUUGACCAAGAGUGUAUUUAAUAUGAGUGGAAGUACAGGGAUUCAUGGCAUUCACUGUCCCUCCUUAAAUGUACGGGUGGAGAUGGUUAUGAAGCAAGCGUUGUCUAUCUUCUUGACAACCACAUCUCUAAAAAAAUUCAAGGUUUACCUUUCUGCGCCUUACAAUAACAUAGCUUCCCCCCGUCCCAAAUGACUAAAUGCACGUAAUUCUCACAAAAGUUACGUUUAUGGAAAUUAAAUGCAAGCUCAAUUUUAGUUUAUUGUAUUUAGGUCUAUCAAUUUGAUGUUUUCGUUCGUGAGAUUUAGGAUUUUAGCUGCCUUAAUACAUUCAACGUAGCCUCAAGAUUAUAUCUAAUCUGGGACCAUUUAUAAUUUAUGACCUUCCAUGUCCCAGGGGAAUCAAAAUGUCUGUAGCC